This is a non-coding RNA of Schistosoma rodhaini, 45 nucleotides long. The record is from Rfam. NCBI's taxonomy places the organism in Eukaryota, Metazoa, Platyhelminthes, Trematoda, Strigeidida, Schistosomatidae.
AUCCAGAUGACGAGUUCCGAAUGAGACGAAACGCGCGUUGUGGAU